This 440-nucleotide ribosomal RNA is filed under the name uncultured bacterium. Its description in RNAcentral is "partial 16S ribosomal RNA". It matches the Rfam family "Bacterial small subunit ribosomal RNA", at positions 338 to 795 of the family's 1533-position model. The record is from RNAcentral.
CCUACGGUAGGCAGCAGUAAGGGAUAUUGGUCAAUGGGGGAAACCCUGAACCAGCAACGCCGCGUGAGGUAAGACGGUUUUCGUAUUGUAAACCUCUGUCCUCUGUGAAGAUGAUUACGGUAGCAGCGGAUGACUCUCCGGCUCCCUCCGUGCCAUCCUCCGCGGUACUACGUAGGGAGCGAGCGUUGUCCGGAUUUACUGGGUGUACAGGGUGCGUAGGCGGCUUGGCAAGUCAGUAGUGAAAUCCAUGGGCUUAACCCAUGAACUGCUAUUGAAACUGUCGAGCUUGAGUGAAGUAGAGGUAGGCGGAAUUCCCGGUGUAGCGGUGAAAUGCGUAGAGAUCGGGAGGAACACCAGUGGCGAAGGCGGCCUACUGGGCUGUAACUGACGCUGAGGCACGAAAGCGUGGGUAGCAAACAGGAUUAGAUACCCCUGUAGUC